UACGUAGGGGGCGAGCGUUGUCCGGAUUUACUGGGCGUAAAGAGCGCGUAGGCGGUUUGGCAAGUUGGCUGUGAAAUCCUCGGGCUUAACUCGGGGUGGUCGGCCGAGACUGCUGGACUUGAGGGUGGUAGAGGAAGGUGGAAUUCCGGGUGUAGUGGUGAAAUGCUUAGAGAUCCGGAGGAACACCAGUGGCGAAGGCGGCCUUCCGGGCCACACCUGACGCUGAGGCGCGAAAGCGUGGGUAGCGAACUGA
Molecule: ribosomal RNA, 253 nt
Filed under: uncultured bacterium
Lineage: Bacteria
Description: partial 16S ribosomal RNA
Rfam family: Bacterial small subunit ribosomal RNA
Source: RNAcentral